AGAGAGAGAGAGAGAGAGAGAGAGAGAGAGAGAGAGAGAGAGAGAGAGAGAGAGAGAGAGAGAGAGAGAGAGAGGGAGGGAGAGAGAAAGAAAUUUGAUGACUGGUUCUAUGUAAUGACUGUUGGUGAGUGAAGUUCGUUUAGUGCUGAAGUUUAAGGUUGCAGGAAAACGGCUCGACAGGUGGAGUGUGUCUGUCACUCUCUCUCUCUCUCUCUCUCUCUCUCUCACACACACACACACACACACACACACACACACACACACACA
Long non-coding RNA from Tachysurus fulvidraco (yellow catfish), 267 nucleotides. RefSeq lists it as uncharacterized. NCBI's taxonomy places the organism in Eukaryota, Metazoa, Chordata, Actinopteri, Siluriformes, Bagridae. The record is from RefSeq and is a predicted model, not a curated record. The transcript has 2 exons.